AGCUCUGCUGCCUUAAAUAUUCACAGAAUUGUUUGCAUUGGAAAGCCCUAAAACCUGCCAUGGACAGGGACACCUUCCAUAGGCUGCUCAGAGCUCCAUCCAUCCUGGCCUUGGAUGCCUCCAGGGACGGAAACAUUUUUGGAAAAUAAGUUUUUGAGUUGUUGAGCCAAAUCAGUUGUUGAGCUGGUAAAAUAACUCAGUCUCUGAGCAGGAACUUAGAGCCUUUGCUUUGCUUUAAACCCAGCCUGCUCUGGAGCACAACACCAGCUGCCCUUCCCUGAGCCCAGUUCCCUCACCCCGCUGGGCCGGGGCAGCCAGCUGAGCACAGCUGAGGCUGGUGCAGCGUUCCAGGGUGCCAGAACAAGGCCGUGUUCCCUUGCAGCUCGGAGGAGCCGGACGAGAAGAAGCUGCUGACGGAGGACGCGGGGCUGGCGGCGGCGCAGCUCAUGGACGGGGACAUGCAGGUCAACCAGGCCGCCUACAACUACAACGCCUGGUACCAGUACAACUACCAGAACGCCUGGAAUUACGGACAGUAUUACCACACAACCUGAUCCCCGCAGGGAGUGGAGUUCACUGUGCUGCAGUUUCAACAAAGAUGG
Non-coding RNA from Cyanistes caeruleus (blue tit), 602 nucleotides. The record is from RefSeq and is a predicted model, not a curated record. NCBI's taxonomy places the organism in Eukaryota, Metazoa, Chordata, Aves, Passeriformes, Paridae.